RNAcentral lists this transfer RNA (62 nucleotides) under Escherichia coli. Its description in RNAcentral is "tRNA-Val". The record is from RNAcentral. Lineage: Bacteria; Pseudomonadati; Pseudomonadota; Gammaproteobacteria; Enterobacterales; Enterobacteriaceae.
UGAUUAGCUCAGCUGGGAGAGCACCUCCCUUACAAGGAGGGGGUCGGCGGUUCGAUCCCAAA